Molecule: ribosomal RNA, 552 nt
Filed under: uncultured bacterium
Lineage: Bacteria
Description: partial 16S ribosomal RNA
Rfam family: Bacterial small subunit ribosomal RNA
Source: RNAcentral
UGGGGAAUCUUCCGCAAUGGACGAAAGUCUGACGGAGCAACGCCGCGUGUAUGAUGAAGGUCUUCGGAUUGUAAAGUACUGUCAUUGGGGAAGAACGGUUUUCUUGAGAAUAUUGAGAAGACAUGACGGUACCCAAGGAGGAAGCCCCGGCUAACUACGUGCCAGCAGCCGCGGUAAUACGUAGGGGGCAAGCGUUGUCCGGAAUUAUUGGGCGUAAAGGGCGCGUAGGCGGGCCUUUAAGUCCGGUGUGAAAGAUCAGGGCUCAACCCUGAGAGUGCAUCGGAAACUGGAGGCCUUGAGGACAGGAGAGGAAAGUGGAAUUCCACGUGUAGCGGUGAAAUGCGUAGAUAUGUGGAGGAACACCAGUGGCGAAGGCGACUUUCUGGACUGUAACUGACGCUGAGGCGCGAAAGCGUGGGGAGCAAACAGGAUUAGAUACCCUGGUAGUCCACGCCGUAAACGAUGAGUGCUAGGUGUAGAGGGUAUCGACCCCUUCUGUGCCGCAGUUAACACAAUAAGCACUCCCGCCUGGGGAGUACGGCCGCAAGGUUG